Molecule: long non-coding RNA, 1375 nt
Organism: Cygnus olor (mute swan)
Lineage: Eukaryota; Metazoa; Chordata; Aves; Anseriformes; Anatidae
Exons: 3
Source: RefSeq, a predicted model, not a curated record
UGCCAAAUUAAUUAUGCUGUGUUUUUUUAUUUUCAUUUUAUUUCAGUCUUCUGGUAGUAUUUGCUGCAUUUUUAAUCGCUUUGCAAAAUACACGAGAUUCCCAAUGCUGUCCAUUAUUUCCAUGAAAACCCUAACUUGGUUGCAAUUAAUCAGCUAUAAUAUGUGUUCCAGGCUACCUGCUGAGGAAGGCAGGCCAGAGAACAGAGUAAGAGCUGAAGCUGGAAAGCCAUUUUUCUGCUUGCCCCAAUUCAGGAUGCAAACUUCAAGUCUGCUACUGCAUUUGUAGAUAGAGACAGCUUGUGGAAAGCAACACAUCUUUCUUUUCAUCUCCUGUUGAAACUUAACUUCGCUGGUUGUAGUAAUAGCUUAUGUGCAAGUCAUUCCAGUCUGUCUGCUCAAGCAUCUCUUUCCUUUACAGCUUUGAAAUCAGCCGCAGCUUCCUCAGCUACUCCCUGCCUGGAAGACACCUUCCCAGCAGCAGCAGUCUCCUGCCAGGGCCUGCUGCACAGGGAAGAGCAAAGGUUCCUUCUUGCUACUACUGCUUCACUCUUUUUUUUUGCUUCUUCUCUUUCUCUGCUUUCUCCCCAAGUUUAAGCUCUGAGCAGUUAUGCAGCUCUAAACUACAGUAUUUCUAUUAUGAAUAGGAAUUUCUACAAGCAGCUUUGCUUCAGCACAGGUGAGACCUAAGGAAAAAAAGACGAGAAUAUUCUGUCAUCAGUGGAACAAGUCUGAGAAUGAGCUGUACCUCCACGUGUCUGCUCUGCUGUCUGCAGCAUUUGCGUGCAGCAUGUGGUAGUUUGACCAUGUUUCUGUCUCAGUAGGUGGGGCAUUUCCAACAAGAUAACCAAAAGAAAGAAUAGUAGGAAAUCUUAAUCAAUUUAAUUCUACUAUUUUUAUACUAAUGAACUGACUGGAAUGACAGAGCAGGAACUCAGCAGGAAAAGAACAAUAGCAUGUUUACGCAGUACUGAUUCUUCUUGGUCAAAAUUAAGACAUUCCUAUAGGAGACAGGAAGAACCCAUGCAGUGGGCCUGCAACAAGACACUGCUGACUGCCUGACAUCUGGUGUCUGGAUUCUCUGCAAGUACUGGACCAUCAUAUUCUGUUACCUGUAAGUUGCUUCUCAUACAGGCUUCACUGAUCUCAGAUUUAUCAUUGUGUUUUAUAAGGUGGACUGACACACAGCAAGUUCUUCAGCAGGUCCGUUUAUAAAAAGGAAGAGAAGAGCUUUCAGUGUUUUCCUGGUGUAAAUGAAAGACUGCAAGUGUCCUGUUCUGGAGAUUAAAAUCUCAAUAUAUGCUCAGAGGUGUUAUUUCCCUUGAAUUCUCUGGAACUUAAAUGCAUUUAGUACGGAGUAAAAAUGCGUACUUCUGGC